RNAcentral lists this ribosomal RNA (441 nucleotides) under uncultured bacterium. RNAcentral's name for it is "partial 16S ribosomal RNA". It matches the Rfam family "Bacterial small subunit ribosomal RNA", at positions 338 to 795 of the family's 1533-position model. The record is from RNAcentral.
CCUACGGGAGGCAGCAGUGGGGGAUAUUGCACAAUGGGGGGAACCCUGAUGCAGCGACGCCGCGUGGGUGAAGGAGUGCUUCGGCAUGUAAAGCCCUAUCGGCAGGGAAGAAGCAAGACGGUACCUGACUAAGAAGCCCCGGCUAACUACGUGCCAGCAGCCGCGGUAAGCCGUAGGGGGCGAGCGUUAUCCGGCUUUACUGGGUGGAAAGGGAGGGUCGACGGCAAUGCCAGCCAGGGGUGGAAGCCCGGGGGCCAACCCAGGGACUGCCCGUGGAACUGCAUGGCUUGAGUACGGGAGGGGCAGGCGGAAUUCCUGGUGUAGCGGUGAAAUGCGUAGAUAUCAGGAGGAACACCGGCGGCGAAGGCGGCCUGCUGGACCGCGACUGACGUUGAGGCGCGAAAGCGUGGGGAGCGAACAGGAUUAGAUACCCUUGUAGUC